CCUUCGAUAGCUCAUCUGGUAGAGUGGAGGACUGUAGGUCUAAAUCCUUAAGUUGCUGGUUCGAUUCCUGCUCGAAGGA
This 79-nucleotide transfer RNA is filed under the name Xenopus tropicalis (tropical clawed frog). Its description in RNAcentral is "Xenopus (Silurana) tropicalis (western clawed frog) tRNA". It matches the Rfam family "tRNA". Rfam says of the family: Transfer RNA (tRNA) molecules are approximately 80 nucleotides in length. Their secondary structure includes four short double-helical elements and three loops (D, anti-codon, and T loops). Further hydrogen bonds mediate the characteristic L-shaped molecular structure. tRNAs have two regions of fundamental functional importance: the anti-codon, which is responsible for specific mRNA codon recognition, and the 3' end, to which the tRNAs corresponding amino acid is attached (by aminoacyl-tRNA synthetases). tRNAs cope with the degeneracy of the genetic code in two manners: having more than one tRNA (with a specific anti-codon) for a particular amino acid; and 'wobble' base-pairing, i.e. permitting non-standard base-pairing at the 3rd anti-codon position. Lineage: Eukaryota; Metazoa; Chordata; Amphibia; Anura; Pipidae. The record is from Rfam by way of RNAcentral.